UGGGGAAUUUUGGACAAUGGGCGCAAGCCUGAUCCAGCAAUGCCGCGUGCAGGAUGAAGGCCUUCGUGUUGUAAACUGCUUUUGUACGGAGCGAAAAGGUCUGCCCUAAUACAUGGGGCUAAUGACGGUACCGUAAGAAUAAGCACCGGCUAACUACGUGCCAGCAGCCGCGGUAAUACGUAGGGUGCAAGCGUUAAUCGGAAUUACUGGGCGUAAAGCGUGCGCAGGCGGUGAUGUAAGACAGGUGUGAAAUCCCCGGGCUUAACCUGGGAAUUGCAUUUGUGACUGCAUCGCUGGAGUACGGCAGAGGGGGAUGGAAUUCCGAGUGUAGCAGUGAAAUGCGUAGAUAUGAGGAGGAACACCGAUGGCGAAGGCAAUCCCCUGGGCCUGCACUGACGCUCAUGCACGAAAGCGUGGGGAGCAAACA
This 427-nucleotide ribosomal RNA is filed under the name uncultured bacterium. RNAcentral's name for it is "bacterial SSU rRNA". It matches the Rfam family "Bacterial small subunit ribosomal RNA", at positions 355 to 774 of the family's 1533-position model. The record is from RNAcentral.